GUACACGCUGUGACUAGCAUAUCAAUAAGCGGAGGAAAAGAAACUAACAAGGAUUCCCCUAGUAACGGCGAGUGAAGCGGGAAGAGCUCAAAUUUGAAAUCUUAAAGGGUUUCCCUUUACGAAUUGUAGUUUAAAGAAGUGUUUUCUGUUGAGGUUUUGGUAAAAGUUCUUUGGAAUAGGACAUCAUAGAGGGUGAGAAUCCCGUAUUUGACCUUUACUUUCAACUUUGUGAUACACUUUCAAAGAGUCGGAUUGUUUGGGAAUGCAGUCCAAAAUGGGUGGUAAAUUUCAUCUAAAGCUAAAUAUUGGCGAGAGACCGAUAGCGAACAAGUACCGUGAGGGAAAGAUGAAAAGAACUUUGAAAAGGAGAGUUAAACAGUACGUGAAAUUGUCAAAAGGGAAGCGUUUGACACCAGUGUUGUUUUUCUGAAAAUCAAUUAAAGAACUGUUUAUGCUAAGUUGUUUAGACUUUAUCAGCUAUCUGUUUAGUUUUGAGCUUUUCUUUAAUGCACUUUUCAGUUGACGAGUCAACAUCAAUUUCUUUUGCUGUAAAAAAGCUUGAGGAAGGUGGCUUGAGAUUCGUCUUAAGUGUUUAUAGCCUCUUGCCUAUGCAGUCGGAGAGAUUGAGGUCUGCAGCGUAGAUCCUUCGGGGCUAAAUGCAUUUGUGCUAAGUUAUAGCAUUUUAUAGACAACUUGUUGACUAUGAUUUGUCUUGUAGCUUACUCGCUUAUGUUAUUUUACCUACGCUUAGGAUGUUGACGAGACUGUCGAUCUC
Molecule: ribosomal RNA, 775 nt
Filed under: uncultured Neocallimastigales
Lineage: Eukaryota; Fungi; Neocallimastigomycota; Neocallimastigomycetes; Neocallimastigales
Description: partial large subunit ribosomal RNA
Rfam family: Eukaryotic large subunit ribosomal RNA
Source: RNAcentral